Molecule: ribosomal RNA, 302 nt
Filed under: uncultured bacterium
Lineage: Bacteria
Description: bacterial SSU rRNA
Rfam family: Bacterial small subunit ribosomal RNA
Source: RNAcentral
GACGAACGCUGGCGGCGUGCCUAACACAUGCAAGUCAACGAGAAAGGGGUAGCAAUAUCCCGAGUAAAGUGGCGCACGGGUGAGUAACACGUAGGUAAUCUGCCAUUAGGACGGGGACGAACCACGCGAAGACGUGGCUAAUACCCGACUGAAUCGACGAUGCCGCAUGGCAUUGUUGUUAAAUAACCGCGAGGUACCUGGUGAUGAACCUGCGUCCCAUUAGGUAGUUGGUGAGGUAACGGCUCACCAACGCCGACCGAUGGGUAGGCUGGUCUGAGAGGAUGAUCAGCCACACUGGAACU